GGGUUGUGAGGUUAAGCGACUAAGCGUACACGGUGGAUGCCCUGGCAGUCAGAGGCGAUGAAGGACGUGCUAAUCUGCGAAAAGCGCCGGCGAGGUGAUAUGAACCCUUGACCCGGCGAUGUCCGAAUGGGGAAACCCAGUGCAAUCCGUUGCACUAUCGUUAACUGAAUACAUAGGUUAACGAGGCGAACCGGGGGAACUGAAACAUCUAAGUACCCCGAGGAAAAGAAAUCAACCGAGAUUCCCCCAGUAGCGGCGAGCGAACGGGGAGCAGCCCGGAGUCUGAAUCAGCUUGUGUGUUAGUGGAACGGUCUGGAAAGUCCGACGGUACAGGGUGAUAGUCCCGUACACGAAAGCACACAUGCUGUGAACUCGAAGAGUAGGGCGGGACACGUGGUAUCCUGUCUGAAUAUGGGGGGACCAUCCUCCAAGGCUAAAUACUCCUGACUGACCGAUAGUGAACCAGUACCGUGAGGGAAAGGCGAAAAGAACCCCGGCGAGGGGAGUGAAAAAGAACCUGAAACCGUGUACGUACAAGCAGUGGGAGCCUCUUUAUGGGGUGACUGCGUACCUUUUGUAUAAUGGGUCAGCGACUUAUAUUCUGUAGCAAGGUUAACCGUAUAGGGGAGCCGAAGGGAAACCGAGUCUUAACUGGGCGUUAAGUUGCAGGGUAUAGACCCGAAACCCGGUGAUCUAGCCAUGGGCAGGUUGAAGGUUGGGUAACACUAACUGGAGGACCGAACCGACUAAUGUUGAAAAAUUAGCGGAUGACCUGUGGCUGGGGGUGAAAGGCCAAUCAAACCGGGAGAUAGCUGGUUCUCCCCGAAAGCUAUUUAGGUAGCGCCUCGUGAACUCAUCUUCGGGGGUAGAGCACUGUUUCGGCUAGGGGGCCAUCCCGGCUUACCAACCCGAUGCAAACUACGAAUACCGAAGAAUGUUAUCACGGGAGACACACGGCGGGUGCUAACGUCCGUCGUGAAGAGGGAAACAACCCAGACCGCCAGCUAAGGUCCCAAAGUCAUGGUUAAGUGGGAAACGAUGUGGGAAGGCACAGACAGCCAGGAUGUUGGCUUAGAAGCAGCCAUCAUUUAAAGAAAGCGUAAUAGCUCACUGGUCGAGUCGGCCUGCGCGGAAGAUGUAACGGGGCUAAACCAUGCACCGAAGCUGCGGCAGCGACGCUUAUGCGUUGUUGGGUAGGGGAGCGUUCUGUAAGCCGUUGAAGGUGUGCUGUGAGGCAUGCUGGAGGUAUCAGAAGUGCGAAUGCUGACAUAAGUAACGAUAAAGCGGGUGAAAAGCCCGCUCGCCGGAAGACCAAGGGUUCCUGUCCAACGUUAAUCGGGGCAGGGUGAGUCGACCCCUAAGGCGAGGCCGAAAGGCGUAGUCGAUGGGAAACAGGUUAAUAUUCCUGUACUUGGUGUUACUGCGAAGGGGGGACGGAGAAGGCUAUGUCAGCCGGGCGACGGUUGUCCCGGUUUAAGCAUGUAGGCGGAGGUUCCAGGUAAAUCCGGUACCUUAUUAACGCUGAGGUGUGAUGACGAGGCACUACGGUGCUGAAGUGAUAAAUGCCCUGCUUCCAGGAAAAGCCUCUAAGCAUCAGGUAACACGAAAUCGUACCCCAAACCGACACAGGUGGUCAGGUAGAGAAUACCAAGGCGCUUGAGAGAACUCGGGUGAAGGAACUAGGCAAAAUGGUGCCGUAACUUCGGGAGAAGGCACGCUGAUGUGUAGGUGAAGCCCCUGCGGGCGGAGCUGAAAUCAGUCGAAGAUACCAGCUGGCUGCAACUGUUUAUUAAAAACACAGCACUGUGCAAACACGAAAGUGGACGUAUACGGUGUGACGCCUGCCCGGUGCCGGAAGGUUAAUUGAUGGGGUUAGCGGCAACGCGAAGCUCUUGAUCGAAGCCCCGGUAAACGGCGGCCGUAACUAUAACGGUCCUAAGGUAGCGAAAUUCCUUGUCGGGUAAGUUCCGACCUGCACGAAUGGCGUAAUGAUGGCCAGGCUGUCUCCACCCGAGACUCAGUGAAAUUGAACUCGCUGUGAAGAUGCAGUGUACCCGCGGCAAGACGGAAAGACCCCGUGAACCUUUACUAUAGCUUGACACUGAACACUGGUCCUUGAUGUGUAGGAUAGGUGGGAGGCUUUGAAGCGUGGACGCCAGUCUGCGUGGAGCCGCCCUUGAAAUACCACCCUUUAAUGGCUGGUGUUCUAACGUAGACCCGUGAUCCGGGUUGCGGACAGUGUCUGGUGGGUAGUUUGACUGGGGCGGUCUCCUCCCAAAGAGUAACGGAGGAGCACGAAGGUUGACACUGAACACUGGUCCUUGAUGUGUAGGAUAGGUGGGAGGCUUUGAAGCGUGGACGCCAGUCUGCGUGGAGCCAACCUUGAAAUACCACCCUUUAAUGGCUGGUGUUCUAACGUAGACCCGUAAUCCGGGUUGCGGACAGUGUCUGGUGGGUAGUUUGACUGGGGCGGUCUCCUCCCAAAGAGUAACGGAGGAGCACGAAGGUUGGCUAAUCCUGGUCGGACAUCAGGAGGUUAGUGCAAUGGCAUAAGCCAGCUUGACUGCGAGCGUGACGGCGCGAGCAGGUGCGAAAGCAGGUCAUAGUGAUCCGGUGGUUCUGAAUGGAAGGGCCAUCGCUCAACGGAUAAAAGGUACUCCGGGGAUAACAGGCUGAUACCGCCCAAGAGUUCAUAUCGACGGCGGUGUUUGGCACCUCGAUGUCGGCUCAUCACAUCCUGGGGCUGAAGUAGGUCCCAAGGGUAUGGCUGUUCGCCAUUUAAAGUGGUACGCGAGCUGGGUUUAGAACGUCGUGAGACAGUUCGGUCCCUAUCUGCCGUGGGCGCUGGAGAAUUGAGGGGGGCUGCUCCUAGUACGAGAGGACCGGAGUGGACGCAUCACUGGUGUUCGGGUUGUCAUGCCAAUGGCACUGCCCGGUAGCUAAAUGCGGAAGAGAUAAGUGCUGAAAGCAUCUAAGCACGAAACUUGCCCCGAGAUGAGUUCUCCCUGAGACUUUAAGUCUCCUGAAGGAACGUUGAAGACGACGACGUUGAUAGGUCGGGUGUGUAAGCGCAGCGAUGCGUUGAGCUAACCGAUACUAAUGAACCGUGAGGCUUAACCUUACAACGCCGAAGUCGGGUGUGUAAGCGCAGCGAUGCGUUGAGCUAACCGAUACUAAUGAACCGUGAGGCUUAACCUUACAACGCCGAAGC
This 3211-nucleotide ribosomal RNA is filed under the name Enterobacter hormaechei subsp. xiangfangensis. RNAcentral's name for it is "bacterial LSU rRNA". It matches the Rfam family "Bacterial large subunit ribosomal RNA". Lineage: Bacteria; Pseudomonadati; Pseudomonadota; Gammaproteobacteria; Enterobacterales; Enterobacteriaceae. The record is from RNAcentral.